Molecule: ribosomal RNA, 1346 nt
Filed under: uncultured bacterium
Lineage: Bacteria
Description: partial 16S ribosomal RNA
Rfam family: Bacterial small subunit ribosomal RNA
Source: RNAcentral
GACGAACGCUUUCGGCGUGCUUAACACAUGCAAGUCGAACGGAAAGGCCCUGCUUUUGUGGGGUGCUCGAGUGGCGAACGGGUGAGUAACACGUGAGUAACCUGCCCUUGACUUUGGGAUAACUUCAGGAAACUGGGGCUAAUACCGGAUAGGAGCUCCUGCUGCAUGGUGGGGGUUGGAAAGUUUCGGCGGUUGGGGAUGGACUCGCGGCUUAUCAGCUUGUUGGUGGGGUAGUGGCUUACCAAGGCUUUGACGGGUAGCCGGCCUGAGAGGGUGACCGGCCACAUUGGGACUGAGAUACGGCCCAGACUCCUACGGGAGGCAGCAGUGGGGAAUAUUGCACAAUGGGCGGAAGCCUGAUGCAGCAACGCCGCGUGCGGGAUGACGGCCUUCGGGUUGUAAACCGCUUUCGCCUGUGACGAAGCGUGAGUGACGGUAAUGGGUAAAGAAGCACCGGCUAACUACGUGCCAGCAGCCGCGGUGAUACGUAGGGUGCGAGCGUUGUCCGGAUUUAUUGGGCGUAAAGGGCUCGUAGGUGGUUGAUCGCGUCGGAAGUGUAAUCUUGGGGCUUAACCCUGAGCGUGCUUUCGAUACGGGUUGACUUGAGGAAGGUAGGGGAGAAUGGAAUUCCUGGUGGAGCGGUGGAAUGCGCAGAUAUCAGGAGGAACACCAGUGGCGAAGGCGGUUCUCUGGGCCUUUCCUGACGCUGAGGAGCGAAAGCGUGGGGAGCGAACAGGCUUAGAUACCCUGGUAGUCCACGCUGUAAACGGUGGGUACUAGGUGUGGGGUCCAUUCCACGGGUUCCGUGCCGUAGCUAACGCUUUAAGUACCCCGCCUGGGGAGUACGGCCGCAAGGCUAAAACUCAAAGGAAUUGACGGGGCCCCGCACAAGCGGCGGAGCAUGCGGAUUAAUUCGAUGCAACGCGUAGAACCUUACCUGGGUUUGACAUGGAUCGGGAGUGCUCAGAGAUGGGUGUGCCUCUUUUGGGGUCGGUUCACAGGUGGUGCAUGGCUGUCGUCAGCUCGUGUCGUGAGAUGUUGGGUUAAGUCCCGCAACGAGCGCAACCCUUGUUCACUGUUGCCAGCACGUUAUGGUGGGGACUCAGUGGAGACCGCCGGGGUCAACUCGGAGGAAGGUGGGGAUGACGUCAAGUCAUCAUGCCCCUUAUGUCCAGGGCUUCACGCAUGCUACAAUGGCUGGUACAGAGAGUGGCGAGCCUGUGAGGGUGAGCGAAUCUCGGAAAGCCGGUCUCAGUUCGGAUUGGGGUCUGCAACUCGACCUCAUGAAGUCGGAGUCGCUAGUAGUCGCAGAUCAGCAACGCUGCGGUGAAUACGUUCCCGGGGCU